AUAAAAUUUUUAUGUUUUGAAGAAUUUAUUUUAAAUUUAUUUUACAUGCAAAUUUUAGUAUGAAAAAUUAAUUAUUUUAAUAAUAAUAAUAAUAUAUGCAGUAAUUUACAUUAAAAAUUUAAGAAAUUAAGAUUUAGUAAUAUUUAAAUUAAUAACUAAUUUUGUGCCAGCAGUUGCGGUUAUACAAAAGUUAAAUUAAAUUUUUAUAGUAAAUAAUAAAUAAAUAAAUAUUUAAAAUAAAUGUUGAAUUAUUAAGUGAAAUUUUAAUUUAAUUAAAUUUUAUAAUAAAUUUAUGAUUUAAUAAAUUUAAUAAUAAACUAGGAUUAGAUACCCUAUUAUUAUAAAUUUAAUUGUAAAUACUAAAAUAGUAGAUAAAAUAUUGAAACUUAAAUAAUAUGGCGGUAUUUUAGUUCAUUUAGAGGAAUCUGUUUAAUAAUUGAUAAUACACGAAUAAAUUUACUUAAUUUAAGAUUUUAUAUAUCGUUGUUAAAAAAAUAUUUUUUUAUAAAAAUAAUAUUUAAAAAUUAAAAAUAAAAAUUAAUUCAAAUCAAGAUGUAGAAUAUAAUUAAGAAUAAAUGGAUUACAAUAAAUUUAUUUAUAUGAAUAAUUAAUUGAAAAAUUAAUUUAAAGGUGGAUUUAAAUGUAAUUUUAUUUAAUUUAAUAAAAUGAUUAAAAAUUGAAAUAUGUACAUAUUGCCCGUCACUUUCAUUUAAAAAUUGGAAUAAGUCGUAACAAAGUAGAGGUACUGGAAAGUGUUUCUAGAAUGAU
Molecule: non-coding RNA, 768 nt
Filed under: Elymnias hypermnestra (common palmfly)
Lineage: Eukaryota; Metazoa; Arthropoda; Insecta; Lepidoptera; Nymphalidae
Source: RNAcentral